GAUGAAGAACGUAUCGAAAUGCGAUAAGUAAUGCGAAUUGCAGAAUUCCGUGAGUCAUCGAAUCUUUGAACGCACAUUGCGCCCUUUGGCAUUCCGAAGGGCAUGCCUGUUCGAGCGUCAUUUAUCAACCCUCAAGCCCGGCUUGCGGUUGGGUCCCGCCGUGGGCGACCACGGCGGACCCGAAAGGUAAUGGCGGUGCCCGUGGGGCCCUGGACGCAGCGAGCUUCUCGGCACGCGUCCCGGCGGUCCCCGGCGCCGUCUCCACCAAUCCACCACGCAGAUUGACCUCGGAUCAGGUAGGGAUACCCGCUGAACUUAAGCAUAUCAAUAAGCGGAGGA
RNAcentral lists this unclassified non-coding RNA (339 nucleotides) under soil metagenome. RNAcentral's name for it is "partial contains 5.8S ribosomal RNA, internal transcribed spacer 2, and large subunit ribosomal RNA". The stretch from base 1 to 120 matches the Rfam family "5.8S ribosomal RNA", at positions 35 to 154 of the family's 154-position model. The record is from RNAcentral.